UGCCAGCAGCCGCGGUAAUACGGAGGGGGUUAGCGUUGUUCGGAAUUACUGGGCGUAAAGCGCGCGUAGGCGGAUUGGAAAGUCAGGGGUGAAACCCCGAGGCUCAACCUCGGAACUGCCUUUGAUACUGUUGGUCUUGAGUUCGAGAGAGGUGAGUGGAAUUCCGAGUGUAGAGGUGAAAUUCGUAGAUAUUCGGAGGAACACCAGUGGCGAAGGCGGCUCACUGGCUCGAUACUGACGCUGAGGUGCGAAAGCGUGGGGAGCAAACAGGAUUAGAUA
Molecule: ribosomal RNA, 279 nt
Filed under: uncultured bacterium
Lineage: Bacteria
Description: partial 16S ribosomal RNA
Rfam family: Bacterial small subunit ribosomal RNA
Source: RNAcentral